Long non-coding RNA from Bos taurus (domestic cattle), 1189 nucleotides. The record is from Ensembl. NCBI's taxonomy places the organism in Eukaryota, Metazoa, Chordata, Mammalia, Artiodactyla, Bovidae.
GCCGGACUAGCGCACCGCACGGAAAGGGAGGAGGCAAGUGAUGUUGGCUUUCUAAGGCUACAGGGCCUGUCCGGUGUUUAUGGCAGGAAGUGAAGGGUCUUGCUCAGAAGCCUUCCAGAACUUUCCCAGGCUAAGUCACAGAUUUUGUUAUGCGUAUAAAGUCAACGCUAUUCCACGCUAUAAAAAAGCAAAUUCCCACGCACCUGCUGAUGGAGGUGUUUCUUCAUGGAGAAGUUUCUUCCAGUCCCAGCAUGUUUCUGUUGGUUACAAAUGCCUGCCGUUUAUAGACUUUUCCAGAACAUUCCCUACUUAGAACUUUCUUCUUAGUGUUACAGGGAAAUCUGACUGUGAUUUCUCUGGCCCUAGUUUACAGAAGAAUGCAAGACUCCACGGGUUUUAAAGUGAGGAAAAUGGGAAGAAGGGAGUUUUAUCUUCAAGUCCUUUUAUCAGGACUUUUAUCUUCAAGUCCUGGGAUUGAUGUUGCUUUGGAAUUUCUGCACUGCCUGCUCUUUAGAGGAGAGACUUGCUUUCCUGGGAAGUUACCCAAUCGAAAGCUAACCUAAGGGUUCUCCUGUGCACUGUGGGAUGUUUAGCAGCAGCUCUGUCCUCUGCCAACUAGAUCCAGUAGCACUGCCUUUCCUGCAGCUGCAACAACCAAAAGUGUCCCCAGGCAUUGCCAGUUGUUCCUGGAGUUAAGAACGGCUGAUCUGCACUGACGGUAAAUCUGGAAGUUACUAGCUUGUGAAUCAAAUGCUGAUUUGAUGAUUUGAUGAGAUUUACUGAAGGCAUUGAAGAGCCCAUUUCUGGCCAGAGAUUCACGAGGUGCUACGUAGAUCCUACUGGUUCUGGUUGCUGAGUUCUCUAGCAUCAUCCGAGGGCAUUUGCCUGUCUAAUUCCUGGCCCAUCCUCAGGUGCUCCUGGAAGACUCCGACCUAGAUGAAAAAGUGGCCUGGCUGUUGGGCCAGAAGCCCUCUCUGUCGUUGAGGUUCACUCCCAGUGGCCGGAAAUGCCACCGAGAGAUGCGCGCUGCGUGGGGGUUCUGAACGAUCGGCUUCAGCACCCGGCCCAGGUGGACAGCGACGAGCGCAGCAGCCCGCCUCACCCUCCCUGCGCGGCCACUGCGCGCGCCUCGCCUCUGACCCCUGCCAGCAGCGUGCCCAGCGCCACGUCCAGCGCCAGCACCUCGGCG